GUCCCUCCCAGUCCAUCCCAGUUUGUCCCAGUCCCUCCCAGUCCAUCCCAGUCCCUCCCAGUUUAUCCCAGUUUGUCCCAGUCCCUCCCAGUCCAUCCCAGUCCCUCCCAGUUCCCUCCCAGUCCAUCCCAGUCCCUCCCAGUCCAUCCCAGUCCCUCCCAGUCCAUCCCAGUCCAUUCCAGUCCCCUCCCAGUCCAUCCCAGUCCCUCCCAGUUUGUCCCAGUCCCCCCAGUUCUCACCAGGCUGAUGUUGGAGUCCAGCCCCAUCUGGAGGUGUCUCCAGUCAAACUCCACCCCCCGGGCCCCGACCCACAGCGGGACGCACCUGCCAGGAAUUCCCAAAAUUCCCGGAAUUCAUCCCAAAAUCCAUCCCAAAAAAUUCCCAAAAUUCCCGGAAUUCAUCCCAAAAUCAUCCCAAAAUCAUCCCAAAAAAAUCCCAAAAUCCAUCCCAAAAUCAUCCCCAAAAAAUCCCAAAAUUCCCGGAAUUCAUCCCAAAAUCCAUCCCAAAAUUCCUGGAAUUCAUCCCAAAAUUCAUCCAAAAAAAUCCCCAAAAUUCCCGGAAUUCAUCCCAAAAUCCAUCCCAAAAUCAUCCCAAAAAAAUCCCAAAAUCCAUCCCAAAAUCCCAAAAUCCAUCCCAAAAUCAUCCCAAAAAAAUCCCAAAAUCCAUCCCAAAAUUUAUCCCAAAAUCCCGGAAUUCAUCCCAAAAUUCAUCCCAAAAUUCCUGGAAUUCAUCCCAAAAUCCAUCCCAAAAUCAUCCCAAAAUCAUGCCCAAAAAAUCCCAAAAUUCAUCCCCAAAAAAUCCCCAAAAAAACCCCAAAAUUCCCAGAAUUCAUCCCAAAAUUCAUCCAAAAAAAAUCCCCCAAAAAUCCCGGAAUUCAUCCCAAAAUCCAUCCCAAAAAAUUCCCAAAAUGCCCGGAAUUCAUCCCAAAAUCAUCCCCAAAAAAAUCCCAAAAUUCCCGGAAUUCAUCCCAAAAUUCAUCCCAAAAUCCAUCCCAAAAUCAUCCCCAAAAAAUCCCAAAAUUCCCGGAAUUCAUCCCAAAAUCAUCCCCCAAAAAAUCCCAAAAAAUCCCAAAAUCCAUCCCCAAAAAAUCCCAAAAAAAUCCCCAAAAAAUCCCCCAAAAUCCCCAAAAAUUUCCAAAAAUUUCCAAAAAAUUCCCAAAAUUCCCAGACAUUCCCGGAAUUCCCACCUGGCCACGAACAAUUCCAAAUUGCCCCAUCCCAAACCCCCCGAAAAUCCAAAAAAAAUCCCCAAAAAAUCCCAAAAAAUCCAAAAAAAAUCCAAAAAAAAUCCAAAAAAAUCCCAAAAAAAUCCCCAAAAUUCACGAAAAUUCCCAGAAUUCCCAGACAUUCCCAGAGAUUCCCGGAAUUCCCACCUGGCCACGAACAAUUCCAAAUUGUCCCAUCCCAAACCCCCCGAAAAUUCAAAAAAAUUCAAAAAAAAUCCAAAAAAAAUCCAAAAAAAAUCCAAAAAAAUCCCAAAAACUCCCCCAAAAAAUCCCAAAAAUUCCCAAAAAUUCCCAGAAUUCCCAGAAUUCCCGAAAAUUCCCAGAAUUCCCACCUGGCCACGAACAAUUCCAAAUUGCCCCAUCCCAAACCCCCCGAAAAUCCAAAAAAAAUCCCAAAAAAAUCCCAAAAAAUCAAAAAAAAAUCCAAAAAAAAUCCAAAAAAAUCCCCAAAAAAUCCCAAAAAAAUCCCAAAAACUCCCAGAAUUCCCAGAAUUCCCGAAAAUUCCCGGAAUUCGCACCUGGCCGUCAGCAGCUCGGUGCUGGCCCCGCCCAAAUCUCCCCCAAACCCCCCAAAAAGUCAAAAAAAAUAAAAAAAAAAAAUCAAAAAAAAUUCCCAAAAAAUCCCAAAAAAUUCCCAAAAAUUCCCAGAAUUCCCAGAAUUCCCAAAAAUUCCCAGAAUUCCCGAAAAUUCCCGGAAUUCGUACCUGGCCACGAACAAUUCCACAUUGCCCCAUCCCAAACCCCCCAAAAAUCCAAAAAAAAAUCCCAAAAAAAUCCCAAAAAAUAAAAAAAAAAUCCAAAAAAAAUCCA
Long non-coding RNA from Cyanistes caeruleus (blue tit), 2035 nucleotides. The record is from Ensembl. NCBI's taxonomy places the organism in Eukaryota, Metazoa, Chordata, Aves, Passeriformes, Paridae.